UGUCCAGACUCCUACGGGAGGCAGCAGUGAGGAAUAUUGGUCAAUGGGCUAAGGCCUGAACCAGCCAAGUCGCGUGAGGGAAGACGGUCCUAUGGAUUGUAAACCUCUUUUGUCGGGGAGCAGCGGGGCCACGUGUGGCCGAAGUGAGAGUACCCGAAGAAAAAGCAUCGGCUAACUCCGUGCCAGCAGCCGCGGUAAUACGGAGGAUGCGAGCGUUAUCCGGAUUUAUUGGGUUUAAAGGGUGCGCAGGCGGUCUGUUAAUUCAGCGGUCAAAGCCCGGGGCUAAACCCCGGCCCACCGUUGAAACUGGCAGUCUCGAGUUGGAGAGAAGUAUGCGGAAUGCGCGGUGUAGCGGUGAAAUGCAUAGAUAUCGCGCAGAACUCCGAUUGCGAAGGCAGCAUGCCGGCUCCACACUGACGCUGAGGCACGAAAGCGUGGGUAUCGAACAGGAUUAGAUACCCCCGUAC
RNAcentral lists this ribosomal RNA (467 nucleotides) under uncultured bacterium. Its description in RNAcentral is "bacterial SSU rRNA". It matches the Rfam family "Bacterial small subunit ribosomal RNA", at positions 328 to 793 of the family's 1533-position model. The record is from RNAcentral.